RNAcentral lists this ribosomal RNA (497 nucleotides) under uncultured bacterium. Its description in RNAcentral is "partial 16S ribosomal RNA". It matches the Rfam family "Bacterial small subunit ribosomal RNA", at positions 28 to 507 of the family's 1533-position model. The record is from RNAcentral.
GAUGAACGCUGGCGGCGUGCCUAAUACAUGCAAGUCGAACGAACAGAUGAUGAUCUUGCUCCUCUGACGUUAGCCGCGGACGUGUGAGUAACACGUGUAUAACCUACCUAUAAGACUGGGAUAACUUCGGGAAACCGGAUCUAAUACCGUAGAAUAUAUUGAACCACAUGGUGCAAUGGUGAAAUACGGUUGUUCUGUCACUUAUCGAUGGAUCUGCGCCGUAUUGGCUGGUUGUUAAGGUAACAGCUUACCAAGGCAACGAUGCGUAGCCGACGUGAGAGGCUGGUAGCCGACCUUGGAGCGGAGACACGGUCAAUACGCCUACGGGAGGCAGCAGUAGCGAACCGUCCGCAACAGUCGAAAGCUUGACGGAGUAACGCGGAGUGAGUGACGACAGUCUUGCGAUCGUAAAGAUCUGUUAUUAGGGAAGAACAAAUGUGUCAGUAAAUAUGCACGUAUUGACGGUAAUUAAUAAGAAAGCAACGGCUAACUACGUG